AGAGUUUGAUCAUGGCUCAGAACGAACGCUGGCGGCAUGCCUAACACAUGCAAGUCGAACGGGAUCCUGGCUUCGGUCAGGUGAGAGUGGCGGACGGGUGAGUAACGCGUGGGAACCUGCCCAGUGGUGGGGGAUAACUGCGGGAAACUGCAGCUAAUACCGCAUGAGCCCGAGAGGGGAAAGAUUUAUCGCCAUUGGAGGGGCCCGCGUUCGAUUAGGUAGUUGGUGAGGUAACGGCUCACCAAGCCUUCGAUCGAUAGCUGGUCUGAGAGGAUGAUCAGCCACACUGGGACUGAGAUACGGCCCAGACUCCUACGGGAGGCAGCAGUGGGGAAUAUUGGACAAUGGGGGCAACCCUGAUCCAGCAAUGCCGCGUGAGUGAUGAAGGCCUUAGGGUUGUAAAGCUCUUUUGGCGGGGACGAUAAUGACGGUACCCAAA
RNAcentral lists this ribosomal RNA (439 nucleotides) under uncultured Rhodomicrobium sp. Its description in RNAcentral is "bacterial SSU rRNA". It matches the Rfam family "Bacterial small subunit ribosomal RNA", at positions 8 to 483 of the family's 1533-position model. Lineage: Bacteria; Pseudomonadati; Pseudomonadota; Alphaproteobacteria; Hyphomicrobiales; Hyphomicrobiaceae. The record is from RNAcentral.